UGCAGUCGAGCGGAUGAAGGAGCUUGCUCCUGGAUUCAGCGGCGGACGGGUGAGUAAUGCCUAGGAAUCUGCCUGGUAGUGGGGGACAACGUUUCGAAAGGAACGCUAAUACCGCAUACGUCCUACGGGAGAAAGCAGGGGACCUUCGGGCCUUGCGCUAUCAGAUGAGCCUAGGUCGGAUUAGCUAGUUGGUGAGGUAAUGGCUCACCAAGGCGACGAUCCGUAACUGGUCUGAGAGGAUGAUCAGUCACACUGGAACUGAGACACGGUCCAGACUCCUACGGGAGGCAGCAGUGGGGAAUAUUGGACAAUGGGCGAAAGCCUGAUCCAGCCAUGCCGCGUGUGUGAAGAAGGUCUUCGGAUUGUAAAGCACUUUAAGUUGGGAGGAAGGGCAGUAAAUUAAUACUUUGCUGUUUUGACGUUACC
Molecule: ribosomal RNA, 426 nt
Filed under: Pseudomonas sp.
Lineage: Bacteria; Pseudomonadati; Pseudomonadota; Gammaproteobacteria; Pseudomonadales; Pseudomonadaceae
Description: bacterial SSU rRNA
Rfam family: Bacterial small subunit ribosomal RNA
Source: RNAcentral